RNAcentral lists this ribosomal RNA (579 nucleotides) under uncultured bacterium. RNAcentral describes it as "bacterial SSU rRNA". It matches the Rfam family "Bacterial small subunit ribosomal RNA", at positions 102 to 668 of the family's 1533-position model. The record is from RNAcentral.
ACGGGUGAGUAACACGUAGGCAUCCUGCCCUCAAGUUUGGGACAACUACCGGAAACGGUAGCUAAUACCGAAUAGUUGUUUCCUUCGCCUGAAGGAAACUGGAAAGACGGAGCAAUCUGUCACUUGGGGAUGGGCCUGCGGCGCAUUAGCUAGUUGGUGGGGUAACGGCUCACCAAGGCGACGAUGCGUAGCCGACCUGAGAGGGUGAUCGGCCACACUGGGACUGAGACACGGCCCAGACUCCUACGGGAGGCAGCAGUAGGGAAUCUUCCGCAAUGGGCGAAAGCCUGACGGAGCAAUGCCGCGUGAGUGAUGAAGGUUUUCGGAUCGUAAAGCUCUGUUGCCAGGGAAGAACGCUUGGGAGAGUAACUGCUCUCAAGGUGACGGUACCUGAGAAGAAAGCCCCGGCUAACUACGUGCCAGCAGCCGCGGUAAUACGUAGGGGGCAAGCGUUGUCCGGAAUUAUUGGGCGUAAAGCGCGCGCAGGCGGUCAUUUAAGUCUGGUGUUUAAUCCCGGGGCUCAACCCCGGAUCGCACUGGAAACUGGGUGACUUGAGUGCAGAAGAGGAGAGUGGAAUU